Molecule: unclassified non-coding RNA, 21 nt
Filed under: Chlamydomonas reinhardtii
Lineage: Eukaryota; Viridiplantae; Chlorophyta; Chlorophyceae; Chlamydomonadales; Chlamydomonadaceae
Description: small RNA Cre_3317
Source: RNAcentral
UGGCGGAGGCUGUGGGACAGU